This 118-nucleotide ribosomal RNA is filed under the name Pteropus alecto (black flying fox). Lineage: Eukaryota; Metazoa; Chordata; Mammalia; Chiroptera; Pteropodidae. The record is from RNAcentral.
UUCUACGGCCAUCCACCCUGAACGUGCCUGAUCUUGUCUGAUCUCGGAAGCUAAGCAGGGUCAGGCCUGGUUAGUACUUGGAUGGGAGACCACCUAGGAAUACCAGGUGCUGUACGUG